GGUUAAGCGACUAAGCGUACACGGUGGAUGCCCUGGCAGUCAGAGGCGAUGAAGGACGUGCUAAUCUGCGAUAAGCGCCGGUAAGGUGAUAUGAACCGUUAUAACCGGCGAUUUCCGAAUGGGGAAACCCAGUGUGAUUCGUCACACUAUCAUUAACUGAAUCCAUAGGUUAAUGAGGCGAACCGGGGGAACUGAAACAUCUAAGUACCCCGAGGAAAAGAAAUCAACCGAGAUUCCCCCAGUAGCGGCGAGCGAACGGGGAGGAGCCCAGAGCCUGAAUCAGCAUGUGUGUUAGUGGAAGCGUCUGGAAAGGCGCGCGAUACAGGGUGACAGCCCCGUACACAAAAGCGCAUGUGCUGUGAGCUCGAUGAGUAGGGCGGGACACGUGGUAUCCUGUCUGAAUAUGGGGGGACCAUCCUCCAAGGCUAAAUACUCCUGACUGACCGAUAGUGAACCAGUACCGUGAGGGAAAGGCGAAAAGAACCCCGGCGAGGGGAGUGAAAAAGAACCUGAAACCGUGUACGUACAAGCAGUGGGAGCACAGGUUUACCUGUGUGACUGCGUACCUUUUGUAUAAUGGGUCAGCGACUUAUAUUCUGUAGCAAGGUUAACCGAAUAGGGGAGCCGUAGGGAAACCGAGUCUUAACCGGGCGUUAAGUUGCAGGGUAUAGACCCGAAACCCGGUGAUCUAGCCAUGGGCAGGUUGAAGGUUGGGUAACACUAACUGGAGGACCGAACCGACUAAUGUUGAAAAAUUAGCGGAUGACCUGUGGCU
Molecule: ribosomal RNA, 775 nt
Filed under: Salmonella sp. JS051105201500009SM
Lineage: Bacteria; Pseudomonadati; Pseudomonadota; Gammaproteobacteria; Enterobacterales; Enterobacteriaceae
Description: partial 23S ribosomal RNA
Rfam family: Bacterial large subunit ribosomal RNA
Source: RNAcentral